Molecule: ribosomal RNA, 273 nt
Filed under: Bigelowiella longifila
Lineage: Eukaryota; Cercozoa; Chlorarachniophyceae
Description: partial Bacterial small subunit ribosomal RNA
Rfam family: Bacterial small subunit ribosomal RNA
Source: RNAcentral
AGCUAGCGGCGGACGGGUGAGUAAUGCUUAGGAAUCUGCCUGGUAGUGGGGGAUAACGUUCGGAAACGGACGCUAAUACCGCAUACGUCCUACGGGAGAAAGCAGGGGACCUUCGGGCCUUGCGCUAUCAGAUGAGCCUAGGUCGGAUUAGCUAGUUGGUGGGGUAAUGGCUCACCAAGGCGACGAUCCGUAACUGGUCUGAGAGGAUGAUCAGUCACACUGGAACUGAGACACGGUCCAGACUCCUACGGGAGGCAGCAGUGGGGAAUAUUG